RNAcentral lists this ribosomal RNA (594 nucleotides) under uncultured fungus. RNAcentral's name for it is "eukaryotic LSU rRNA". The stretch from base 185 to 338 matches the Rfam family "5.8S ribosomal RNA". Lineage: Eukaryota; Fungi. The record is from RNAcentral.
AAGGAUCAUUACAGAUAAUAAUAAUCAUAUUAUCUUUCCAAACCCCCUAUUGUGAACUUUUGGUGUAAGCAAGUAAGUGCCCCUAUUAGAUUAGGGGCUUUGAAAGCUUGCAAUCCAACUUUUUUCAUACACACACACACUACUGUAUGGUCAACGAAUGUAAUGUUCAUAAUGAAAUAUAAAUAACUUUCAGCAACGGAUCUCUUGGCUCUCGCAUCGAUGAAGAACGCAGCGAAAUGCGAUAAGUAAUGUGAAUUGCAGAAUUCAGUGAAUCAUCGAAUCUUUGAACGCACCUUGCACCUCUUAGUAUUCUGAGAGGUACACCUGUUUGAGUAUCAUUAAAUUCUAUCCAGCAGCUUUUCAUUUAUUGAAAGCUGUUUGGGACUUGGGGGGAAUUACAAUUGCAGAUUUUAUUAUUUGCUCCCCUUGAAUGUAUUAGCAGGGAAUUGUAUUAUUGGUCCUUGGGUUUGAUGUGAUAAAAUGUCUCCUCUAACCCUCUGACUGUUCUGCUUCAAACUGUCUUAAUUUCCUAUAAGACAAACAUUUCAUAAAAUUCAUGAUCUCAAAUCAGGUGGGACUACCCGCUGAACUUAA